UCCGUAGGUGAACCUGCGGAGGGAUCAUUACCGAGUGGAUCGCUUCCGGGCGUGACCUCCAACCCCAUUGUAAUCCGACUCUGUUGCCUCGGGGGCGACCCGGCCUUUGGCCCCGGGGCCCCCGGUGGAAAUCUACCAAACACUGCAUCCAUGCGUCCGAGUAUAAAUUAAAUCAAUUUAAAACUUUCAACAACGGAUCUCUUGGUUCUGGCAUCGAUGAAGAACGCAGCGAAAUGCGAUAAGUAAUGUGAAUUGCAGAAUUCAGUGAAUCAUCGAAUCUUUGAACGCACAUUGCGCCCCCUGGCAUUCCGGGGGGCAUGCCUGUUCGAGCGUCAUUUCACCACUCAAGCCUCGCUUGGUAUUGGGCAACGCGGUCCGCCGCGUGCCUCAAAUCGACCGGCUGGGUCUUCUGUCCCCUAAGCGUUGUGGAAACUAUUCGCUAAAGGGUGUUCGGGAGGCUACGCCGUAAAACAACCCCAUUUCUAAGGUUGACCUCGGAUCAGGUAGGGAUACCCGCUGAACUUAAGCAUAUCAAUAAGCGGAGGA
This 546-nucleotide ribosomal RNA is filed under the name uncultured Cladosporium. RNAcentral's name for it is "eukaryotic LSU rRNA". The stretch from base 182 to 335 matches the Rfam family "5.8S ribosomal RNA". The record is from RNAcentral. Lineage: Eukaryota; Fungi; Ascomycota; Dothideomycetes; Cladosporiales; Cladosporiaceae.